RNAcentral lists this ribosomal RNA (465 nucleotides) under uncultured Klebsiella sp. RNAcentral's name for it is "bacterial SSU rRNA". It matches the Rfam family "Bacterial small subunit ribosomal RNA", at positions 338 to 795 of the family's 1533-position model. The record is from RNAcentral. Lineage: Bacteria; Pseudomonadati; Pseudomonadota; Gammaproteobacteria; Enterobacterales; Enterobacteriaceae.
CCUACGGGCGGCAGCAGUGGGGAAUAUUGCACAAUGGGCGCAAGCCGGAUGCAGCCAUGCCGCGUGUGUGAAGAAGGCCUUCGGGUUGUAAAGCACUUUCAGCGGGGAGGAAGGCGUUAAGGUUAAUAACCUUGGCGAUUGACGUUACCCGCAGAAGAAGCACCGGCUAACUCCGUGCCAGCAGCCGCGGUAAUACGGAGGGUGCAAGCGUUAAUCGGAAUUACUGGGCGUAAAGCGCACGCAGGCGGUCUGUCAAGUCGGAUGUGAGAUCCCCGGGCUCAACCUGGGAACUGCAUUCGAAACUGGCAGGCUAGAGUCUUGUAGAGGGGGGUAGAAUUCCAGGUGUAGCGGUGAAAUGCGUAGAGAUCUGGAGGAAUACCGGUGGCGAAGGCGGCCCCCUGGACAAAGACUGACGCUCAGGUGCGAAAGCGUGGGGAGCAAGCAGGAUUAGAUACCCCAGUAGUC